This is a long non-coding RNA of Coturnix japonica (Japanese quail), 2289 nucleotides long. RefSeq lists it as uncharacterized. Lineage: Eukaryota; Metazoa; Chordata; Aves; Galliformes; Phasianidae. The record is from RefSeq and is a predicted model, not a curated record.
GUUCUUACUGCAGCUGUACUAAGCACGUCCCUUUUGGCACUGACAAAAUGCACCAGAAGGCAGUAUUCUUUUUACCAGAUCCUCUGGGACAUAAAAAAAUGGCUCCACCUCUCUUUAAUCCAAUACUUAUAGUAUACAUAUAUAUACAUAUAUAUAUAUACUAAUUCCUGCUUUUAGCAUCCUGAGAUAGACUCUCCCCUAAAACUUCAGCCUAUGCUCUUGCUUAUUUCCAUUGGAAGAGAAUAAUAAUUUGUGAAGAGUUUGAGCUAAGCCUUUCUCCAUUUCCUUGCAAUUCUUAGUUUUUCUUUUCUUCCUAGAUUAAAUAAGUUACUAAUUAAACCCUCUAUUUAACUUAACCUAAAAAUUUCUCAGCUCUCCACUUCACUUCUUUUAAUAACUCAUCAUAUGGAAUAGUAGAUCACUUCUGGUAAUUCUAAAAUACUGCAGGAGGUGUAAUCUUUAUAUUAGACUGUUCAUUUGGCUAUCAAGGGCAACAUAAUUGACUUUCAUUUCAAUAUCAAGGGUGACAUAAGUAAUUUUCUUAUUGACAAGGAUAAAAAAUGUUCAUCUAUUGUAAGAAUCAGACUGAAGAAAGCAGGCAUUAGUUUGGAUGAUGGAUUCAUCUGAAUAUUGAUAUAGUAUGGAAUAAAAUUAUUAGGCAAAGUACUUUCAUGAAAGCAACAAUGCCACAAGUCAAAGCAGAAUUGGAAGCAUUACUUUCCUGAGAUUGCCCUAGGAGAAAGUUGCAUUGUGUUCCUGGAAUGACAUGAAAUGAAAUUCACCACAUAGAAAACUUACUAUGUUCAGGAUCAUGCAAGGAGCUGGAUGCCUUCUCAUUACUUCUCAGCUCCACUUCAAGAUCUUAGCUAUGCUUUGAGAUUUACCAACAGUUCCAAAACCGUUUUGUGCAGAAGCUUUCCACUCCAAAUGAGGCCUGGAAUAUGUUUAUUUUCCUCUGAGAGUUUAAACAGAAGACUUAAUUUCUUCCUCUUCUAAGUGCAAGAAGACUCCAAAAAAAAGUAGAUGCUUGGGGGAUGUUGGCUUUGGUUGGGUUUUGUGGACAUUCAGCAGUACAGCUGGCAGUGCCAAAGUUGGCAGACACAACUCGCUCCCUUCUUGACAGCUAUCCAGAUGCCUGGCCACAGAUUUGUAACUCCAUCUUCAAAGUUUGCACAUGGCUGGCAUAAAUAGAUAACAGGUGAAAAGCAGUCCCAAACUGAGGCUUUUGUGUAGGACUGAUUAUUGUGUGAGAUUCUAGAAAAAAAUAGAAGCAUGCUUAAUGAGGCAUUUUCAGUUGAAAAGAGGAAAUGAAAUGGCACAAGGUUGUUGGAGGCACAGGAAUAGGAGAGGGAACCAAGAGCUAUCAGCAACUGAGCACAAGCUGUGAAAAAGCAUGGUGCAUGUUCUCAUCCAGCCUGUCCGCAUGUUCCUGAGCACUGCCAGUAAAGCUCAGUUCUGCUUGAGUUCAAAGGCAGCUGAAAGCGCCUGGCAAUUCAUGGCAUCAUACUUCCAGAAAACCCUCCUGAUAUUUCAUAAGGCAAUUAAAUACGUUGCCUUCUGUGGAAGGAAGGAAAAUUAUUCCUAAAUCCUGAAAAGAAUGCUGUUCACUGGUUUAAAUCGGUACACACAAGAAUCAGUUAAUUAUUGAAAUAGAAGGCUACUUUCCACAACCUUCUCCCUUACAUAAUGAAGCAUUUGAGAAGAUCACUGUUUCGUAUGAAAACCCCGUAGUAAAUCAGAACCUCAGUCCUGGUGCUGUGUUAUCCUCAUCCCUCCUGGUCUGAGACAGAAGCUUACGGGCAGCUAACGAUUCAGACAGCAUGUGCUCCCAGACUCAGUGUCUCUAUGUAGUCAAUAAAAGUGGUAAGAUACUUUAGUUAAAAGAACAUUAUGAGUUUGAAAUGCCACCCCUUUCCUUUAUCCUAAGAGGAAAACAAGAUCUGGGUACUAGGAGACAUGAAUUUCUUGUAUUGCUCUCCAAUGUUGAUUUUAUAGCAAACAAUCCAAGCACAGCCCCUGGGAUCAAACCAGUUACUGCUAUGGUGCUUUCAAAGCUUUCCUGUCUGAUUGCCGUGACUGGAGUCAAGCACAGCAAAUGGUGUGUGCAGAACCACUGCUGUUGGCUCCAAGAGGCAAACAAAUAGUAGCUGGAGAGAAUGAAGCACAGAAUUUAGCAGUCAGUAAGAGGGAACACAUAAAAAAGUAGGUAAAGCAAUGGAGAGAUGUGUGCAAAAAAAAAUAUAAAGAAAGAAUGGUAAGGUAAAGGCAAAGAAAGAGAAAUGCACAGAU